CGUUAGAUCACCGAAGUCAAGCAUCAUUGGGAGCGGUCAGUACUUGGGUGGGUGACCACCUGGGAACACCGCGUGCCGUU
Caerostris extrusa is the source of this 80-nucleotide non-coding RNA. Lineage: Eukaryota; Metazoa; Arthropoda; Arachnida; Araneae; Araneidae. The record is from the annotation of a GenBank genome assembly.